GACGAACGCUGGCGGCGUGCUUAACACAUGCAAGUCGUACGGUAAGGCCCUUUCGGGGGUACACGAGUGGCGAACGGGUGAGUAACACGUGAUUAACCUGCCCACAACUUUGGGAUAACGCUAGGAAACUGGUGCUAAUACUGGAUAUGUGCUCCUGCUGCAUGUUGGGGGUUGGAAAGCUCCGGCGGUUGUGGAUGGACUCGCGGCCUAUCAGCUUGUUGGUGGGGUAGUGGCCUACCAAGGCGGCGACGGGUAGCCGGCCUGAGAGGGUGACCGGCCACAUUGGGACUGAGAUACGGCCCAGACUCCUACGGGAGGCAGAAGUGGGGAAUAUUGCACAAUGGGAGCAAGCCUGAUGCAGCAACGCCGCGUGCGGGAUGACGGCCUUCGGGUUGGAAACCGCUUUCAGCAGGGACGAAGCUUUUUGUGACGGUACCUGCAGAAGAAGCACCGGCUAACUACGUG
Molecule: ribosomal RNA, 465 nt
Filed under: uncultured bacterium
Lineage: Bacteria
Description: partial 16S ribosomal RNA
Rfam family: Bacterial small subunit ribosomal RNA
Source: RNAcentral